GCCCGGGGGCGCCCCCAGCGCGCGGACGGCGGGACCCUGCGGCCUCCUCCAGGUCUGGACGCAGGGAGGGGUGAGACUGUUCUGGCCAAAGAGACUGGAGAUCCAGUAUCAGCAAGCUACUUUCUUGCAUUUAGCAAUGAAUACUAUGGGAUUAUGGCUAAAAGAUGGUCAAGACUGCCUCAGCCAUUAGGAUCAGAAUUCUAAGUUCCAAAGAAGAGCAAACUCAAGAGGAUUUCCUCAGGCCUCUGACUAUAGAUGCUGCCUGGGGAGAACAGGUGCUACACUCAAAACAUUCUCAUUUUAUUUAUAUCCUCCCUGAACUAGUACCCAACUCCAUAACCCCAGACUCAAAUAACAGAAAUAAAAGCCAUCUCACUGAUUAUAAGCUCUCUAGUUAUUACAAAAAUAAAUAAGCAUCAAUCAACCAACAGGCAUCAGAAUGAGAAAAUCACUGAUUUGAGACAUUCAGGCUGCAGGAAAAGAACACUUUUUGUUAAUAUGUAACUAUAUCUUCAGUAGUACAGAAAAAUGAGAAGAACGAGAGUUCUUACCUGGAUUUGCGGCUCACUUAAAGUAGAGCACCUGAGAUGCUGGGAAAUCAUAAAGAUAAAUAACCAAUCUAACAAAUUCCUGCCAUGAGACCAAAGUG
This 649-nucleotide long non-coding RNA is filed under the name Homo sapiens (human). RNAcentral's name for it is "non-protein coding lnc-NRGN-1:7". The record is from RNAcentral. Lineage: Eukaryota; Metazoa; Chordata; Mammalia; Primates; Hominidae.